RNAcentral lists this ribosomal RNA (534 nucleotides) under uncultured bacterium. RNAcentral describes it as "bacterial SSU rRNA". It matches the Rfam family "Bacterial small subunit ribosomal RNA", at positions 355 to 905 of the family's 1533-position model. The record is from RNAcentral.
UGGGGAAUAUUGCGCAAUGGGGGAAACCCUGACGCAGCCAUGCCGCGUGAGUGAAGAAGGUCUUCGGAUCGUAAAGCUCUUUCAACGGUGAAGAUGAUGACGGUAGCCGUAGAAGAAGCCCCGGCUAACUCCGUGCCAGCAGCCGCGGUAAUACGGAGGGGGCUAGCGUUGUUCGGAAUUACUGGGCGUAAAGCGCGCGUAGGCGGACUGAUCAGUCAGGGGUGAAAUCCCGGGGCUCAACCCCGGAACUGCCUCCAAAACUAUUGGUCUAGAGUUCGAGAGAGGUGAGUGGAAUUCCAAGUGUAGAGGUGAAAUUCGUAGAUAUUAGGAAGAACACCAGUGGCGAAGGCGACUCACUGGACAGGUAUUGACGCUGAGGUGCGAAAGCGUGGGGAGCGAACAGGAUUAGAUACCCUGGUAGUCCACACCGUAAAACGAUGAAUGCCAGUCGUCGGGUAGCAUGCUAUUCGGUGACACACCUAACGGAUUAAGCAUUCCGCCUGGGGAGUACGGUCGCAAGAUUAAAAGCUCAAA